CCGCCCCGCCCCGCCGCCUUGCUCGGCCGUCCCGCUCGCCGCCGCCUCCUCUCCUCCCCCGCGUCCCGCUUCUCCCACCUCGUCGUCGCCUCCUCUCCCCUCCCGCGCCCCCCUCGCCCUGCCCAUCCCUGCCCGUCCAAGCUCAGGGUCGAGGGGCGCGCCGGGUCCGGGCGAGGCGGCUCGAUGGUGAGCGCGAUGGAUCUCCAGCUAGCUCGGGCGUGUGGACGUGUUGAUGAGCGCGCCAGCGGCCGUGGCGAGCUCGAGCCCGGGAUAAACCUAGCGUCAUGGUCGCCAUGGACGCCAGCGCUGCACCUGCACCGCCGGUUGGUACUCCCCGACACCGUUCGGGCCCUCCUGCACUGCAUCACCCUCCUACCGCGCCUACUAGACCUACAGGAAGUGCUCAUGUAUCAAAUUCCAGUUGUUACUCAACCUGUAGUGGAUUCCAUUUGCUGAAGAUAUCGUCCAUUGUCACCAGUGUCUCCUUCUAUCUGGCCUUCAUGGAUCAGUGAUACACAUACUGAUGGCAGAAGAGCGCCUAUAAUACAGUUUGGUCCCUUUAGAUAAAAAAGUGGAUGAUGAUUAGCUUGAGGAGAAGAUCCUCUCUAAAGAAGCACAUGCUACUGCAGUGAUCCUCGAGAGCGUUGGAUACAUUCAAGAUACUGAGGACUGAGACCAAACAGCGAAGCGAUGCCUUAUUUGAUUGUAAACUCAACCGAGUGACACAGGGACCAUUCCAUUUGACGAGGCUCAUGCUGCCCGGAUUUCGUUAAACAAGCCAUCUAUGUCCCAAAGUUGAGGACCGUUUGGAGAAGAGGCCACCCAGACAAUUUAAACAGAUGCAGGAUAUGAUUAGGCGCACAUAUACAAGUAUCUUUAUGACGACACUUGCACCAGUUUUCAUCGUUGUUGUUCUUGCCUGUUGCCUCCCCCCCUAUCGCUUCGCUAGCUGCGGCAAGCUCAGGGCACAAUCAUCAGCUUCAGCUGCAUCAAUGCAACUUGCUGGUCGAUGGUCCUGCUACCCUAGGUGAUGAGGGGGACGGUACUUCAAGUGAACUAAGGAGUGUGUCGUUGCUGAUGAGAGCCCCCUUCCCUUUGAAACCAAAAAGGCAAGGCGACACUGAAACCAGAGAGGUUAGGUGUUGUUGGGUGCUCGCCCUUUUGGUUUUUUGGUGCGUUUGUGCUCGUCGGUGGGACGGUGCAAGGCGCAACUCCGGCGCGGUUCCUUGCCGGUUGGACGACGUUCACGUGCAACCCCGGUGUGCACUGAGUACUGUCUCGGCUACAACCUCCCUCGGCAGGCUGGGUGGGCUCCUCGUUAGCAUCGGCUUUCCCUGCCUGCCACUCCUCUCUGAUGGAGCGGACCUUUGGAUGCUCCUGGGCCUCUGGCCGUGUGCUAGAAAAAUGAGACUGCUUGGAACCCCUGGCUCCUCAGCGACUGGCGCAUUCUGGCUGUCCGAUCUCUUUGCUUGAUUGACUUCCGGCCGUCCGAUCGAGCGGUGGAGGGGCGUCGGCUGUCGGAUCGAAUCCCGCCCCCUGUAGCACGCUCGAAGCCCGCACGACCCCGCCCGGUGAUUGCUCCAUCUGCCUGGUCGUAGCUCGCUGAUCUGUGGGGUCCCGUCUGGUGGGCCCCGAUCGUCAGCGAGCGGGUGUGCGGGUGCGCCUGUAUACGUCACGUGCCGCGCGCGCCGCCGGAAAUAUCCCGUGCCACCACAUGGGAAUAUUGCCCCCCGCCGAGGGCUUUUUCAACUUUGCGCGUCCAUGCUGCUUGCGUGGUGGGAGGUGGUUGGCGCGCCGUGGCUAUGUGGUGGGGGUCGGCUGGCUCCCUUCUCAUUCGCCCCCCUCGUUCCCCUUUCUCUAUCUCCCGUCUCCUUUCGCCGCCGCCACCGUCGACGCUCGCCCUCCCGUUUUGUGCCACCGCUUGUAAAUAGCCUGCCCCGCCGGGGGCAUUCUUGACAUUUCGCUUUGUCUGUGGCGGUGGUGUUCGUGCUAGGGCGAUGAUGAUUAACUGUAGCUGGAAUAAGUGUGCCUUUGAGCAAUCAAGGCACCUAUGGGUAUCAAGUUGGAUCCUCCCUGUUGUCUCUAGAAUCCUCUUUGAUCCCGUGAUACCUAUUGAUAUGUCCUUGGAUGGUCAUUCUUGUUGAGUGAUAACAAGGGCAGCUCCAUUGUAUAAACAGAUUGAUCUGGUGAUAAGAGAUGAUGGGGGUAGGUUAUAUGAUCGAGAAAAGGCGAAUCUGAGUCCACUAUGCAAUAAAACUGCAGCUACCUCCCCUAAUGUGUGUAGUAUUGAAGGCAAAAGAGAACUUUUAAUGUCUUGCUACUUUAAAAUUCCAAAAUGGUGAAUUCUUCCUUUGCUGGUUACUUAACCAUGAUUUUUUGUUUUGCUUUGGUUCUGUUUGAGAUACUAAAGGUUGUUUAUGUAUGAAAAUAAUAGACACUUGUAGUUUUGUAUGCCUCACCUGUAGCUUAGGAUCCAGUGUUGUAAUGUUUUGCCUGAGUAAAAAUAACUCUAAUCAAUAAUAGUGGUUCUAUCCUUCUGAUUUGAACUGGGAGAGGGCCACUCAUUCUUGAUCUUAAGGUGACCCCAUUUUUCUAUGCCUCAUGCUCAUGCUGCUCUAUGUUCCCUUUUAAAGAUUCUUGCUUGCACUUUGGGUUGGUUUUCUGCUCUAUGUUCCCUUUUAGCAUUUCUUUCCGCUGUUGUUGCAUUCCCUUUUUUGUAUAUUACAUGUUCUUUUUGUAUCUCAUUCUGCAUGUAACAUAACUAAAUAAUACAUUGAUAUGAAAGGUUAUAUCUGAUAUCAUUGAGAGGAGCAGGCCAACAUCCCUACCUCCCUCUUCAACUCCCACCCAACACAAUUGUGGUGAGCUCCCCCUCUCAUCUACUUGCUAUUUGUACCUUCGGUUUUGGAUGCAUACAAAUUAUGUAUGCCAUGACUGAAACUCGAGGCAAAUUGUGCGUGUGCGUGCGUGUGCGCACGCACAUCACGUUUUUGUUUAAUUUUGGAUGGCUCAAACCGGCUGGAGCCAACUUUGUGUGCGUGUGAGUGCGCAUCCAUUGCAUGUAAAAAUCUUGUUUUUUUCCAAACUCUUCUACUGUCAGAUGUGUAGAUAAAUUGCUUAUCUGGGCAGUUGUAGUACUCCAUGCCAUUACUAACUUUACCAUUACUUGCUUGGGCACAUCGUUGGGACCGGCACCCUCGCGCCAAGGUGCGUUGCCGAUCUAGAUGACGGUGGCUGGUCUGUAGGCUUUUAUUGUUGGGAACAGGAACUGGACUGUUCGUGUAUAUGUUUCGCCUUUGUGGCAGCAUCGUGGAACCACUGAUAACGGUCCUAUCAAACACACUGACAUGGUUCUUUUGGAUGCCCAGUGUCGGUGUAAAGAAAGUGCCAGCAAGUGGUCUACAUAAGUCUGGACUGCGUAAACCUUUGUUUUCCGAUGGGUAUGCUCAGGGACUCGCAAAAGUGGAUGGCAGCUCCGUUGGUCCCGGUGAUGAACUUGCUACUACCUCGAGGUUUGAUGCAGGUUUUUGACAGUAUAUGCAUCAUCUCUUACUUCUUUCACAUAAUUUUCAUUUGUUAUUGAAGCAAAUCAACUGAAGACCUGGCAGCAGAUGAAGCCAAGCCCUCUGUGGCUAAAAGGGCCAAGUUUUAGAUCAAACGCCCUUAGGUAGCCUAUAGUUUUGGUGUGUCUGUGAUACGUCUCCAACGUAUCUAUAAUUUUUGAUUGCUCCAUGCUACUUUAUCUACUGUUUUAGGCAAUAUUGGGCUUUAUUAUCCACUUUGAUAUUAUUUUUGGGACUAACCUAUUAAU
Molecule: RNA transcript, 3811 nt
Organism: Triticum aestivum (bread wheat)
Lineage: Eukaryota; Viridiplantae; Streptophyta; Magnoliopsida; Poales; Poaceae
Exons: 15
Source: RefSeq, a predicted model, not a curated record